AAGUCGUAACAAGGUUUCCGUAGGUGAACCUGCGGAAGGAUCAUUAACAUAAUAUUCUUACACACUGUUUUUUUACAACAAAACAAACAUAUCUAAUCUAUAAAUCUACGUUUUAAAAUUCUUAAAACUUUCAACAACGGAUCUCUUGGUUCUC
RNAcentral lists this unclassified non-coding RNA (154 nucleotides) under Kodamaea ohmeri. RNAcentral describes it as "partial internal transcribed spacer region". The stretch from base 1 to 46 matches the Rfam family "Eukaryotic small subunit ribosomal RNA", at positions 1786 to 1831 of the family's 1831-position model. Lineage: Eukaryota; Fungi; Ascomycota; Pichiomycetes; Serinales; Debaryomycetaceae. The record is from RNAcentral.